GACGAACGCUGGCGGCGUGCCUAAUACAUGCAAGUCGAACGCUUCUUUCCUCUCCAUUUCUUGCCCUCAAUUGGAACGAAGAGUUGCGUACGGGUGAGUAACACGUGCGUUACGUACCCAUCAACGUGGGAUAACACAUGGUAACAGCGGCUAAUACCUCUUAACAGUUUAUUCCGCAUGGCAUAAUAGUAUAAGGUCCUUUCGGGUGUCGCCGGCGUUUGGACCCGCGGUGGAUUAGCUAGUUGGUGAGGUAACGGCUCACCAAGGUCACGAUGCAUAGCCGACCUGAGAGGGUGAUCGGCCACACUGGGACUGAGACACGGCCCAGACUCCUACGGGAGGCAGCAGUAGGGAAUCUUCGGCAAUGGACGAAAGUCUGACCGAGCAACGCCGCGUGAGUGAAGAAGGUUUUCGGAUCGUAAAACUCUGUUGUUAGAGAAGAACAAGGGCGUUAGUAAAUGAACGUCCCCGGACGGUAACUAACCAGGAAGCCAAGGCUAACUUAGUG
This 508-nucleotide ribosomal RNA is filed under the name uncultured bacterium. RNAcentral describes it as "partial 16S ribosomal RNA". It matches the Rfam family "Bacterial small subunit ribosomal RNA", at positions 28 to 507 of the family's 1533-position model. The record is from RNAcentral.